RNAcentral lists this long non-coding RNA (1062 nucleotides) under Oryctolagus cuniculus (rabbit). RNAcentral's name for it is "lncRNA (ENSOCUG00000031533.1)". Lineage: Eukaryota; Metazoa; Chordata; Mammalia; Lagomorpha; Leporidae. The record is from RNAcentral.
UAUCACUGAAAAGCAAUCUGGCAGUUCACUUUACUGCAUCCAGAAAGAAUUCAGUCUCAUGCCGUGGUUAAAAAAAUAAAAAAUAAAUAAAAUGCACAAAAUGAGAAGCAUUUCCAUGAGUAAUUUCGCACAUGCUGCUAAGUACUGCAGAGAUUGCCAAGACUAGCCUUUAAUCUCAAUGGGAAGCCGUAACAGCUGUAAACCCUUAUUUGCUGUCAAAUGUCUUUUGCAGGGUUAUUAGAAAAGAUAGGAGGCAAAUCCUUCCAAGUUACCUUACUUGAUUCUUUUGACCUGCUUUUAUUAUCAUUACACUUUCUAUCUGUUGAUAGCAAAAUGUGCUUAUUUCACCAGCCCUGGACAAAAUCAAGUCGGGCUCAUAAGGCACUCAUGUUUUCACCACUCUGCCUCUCGGCUCUCACCUCUACUCUCUCCCCACAGGUUUUUCGCCCCCUAAAUCCCACUCCUGCCUCCCUUCCAAACCACUCAUUAACAAUCGCUUUGGCAAAAUGUGGACCAAUGGGGUCCGCCAACCUAUUUUCAUGGAUCAUCAUGAUUCUUGUCUCAGAAGCUACCAUGCUACAGGAGCCCAAGGUCCAAGAGGACUCAUGCAUAAUCUUCACCUAUUCCAAAGAAACUACUGGAGUCCGACUGGGAGAGACAGGGCUCUGUUCUAUUUGCAGGAGUGCCUGGCUGCUAGUUGGUCAGUAAUUCGUGCCACCUUUUCAGACUGCACAGCAUUAAGUAGUGCACAGUAAGCAAGCACAAUUGGCCGGUGGUCAAAGCAUCCAGGCUAUUCCCUGGUGCUCCACAAAGCUGUUAACUCAAGGACAAAUGUGCAGCUGUAUUCGGCUCCCAUCCACCUUCUCCACCAGAUGCUGCUUGGAAUGUUUACCCAGGGCCACAGCCGAUAUCCCAGAGGCCUCCUCCAAGGCACAGAAUGCUCCUUCCCCUGGGGGAAGGGAACAACCGUAGAGGCAAAAAGAGAAAGAGUUGCUAUCUGCUUGUUCACUAUCCAAGUGUCCCCAAUGGCCAGGCUGGAGCUAGGACCUGGAACACAAACCU